UCAGCUUGUUGGUGAGGUAAUGGCUCACCAAGGCGUCGACGGGUAGCCGGCCUGAGAGGGUGACCGGCCACACUGGGACUGAGACACGGCCCAGACUCCUACGGGAGGCAGCAGUGGGGAAUAUUGCACAAUGGGCGCAAGCCUGAUGCAGCAACGCCGCGUGAGGGACGACGGCCUUCGGGUUGUAAACCUCUUUUAGCAGGGAAGAAGCGAAAGUGACGGUACCUGCAGAAAAAGCGCCGGCUAACUACGUGCCAGCAGCCGCGGUAAUACGUAGGGCGCAAGCGUUAUCCGGAAUUAUUGGGCGUAAAGAGCUCGUAGGCGGUUUGUCGCGUCUGCUGUGAAAUCCGGAGGCUCAACCUCCGGCCUGCAGUGGGUACGGGCAGACUAGAGUGCGGUAGGGGAGAUUGGAAUUCCUGGUGUAGCGGUGGAAUGCGCAGAUAUCAGGAGGAACACCGAUGGCGAAGGCAGAUCUCUGGGCCGUAACUGACGCUGAGGAGCGAAAGGGUGGGGAGCAAACAGGCUUAGAUACCCUGGUAGUCCACCCCGUAAACGUUGGGAACUAGUUGUGGGGUCCAUUCCACGGAUUCCG
This 592-nucleotide ribosomal RNA is filed under the name Microbacterium sp. RNAcentral's name for it is "bacterial SSU rRNA". It matches the Rfam family "Bacterial small subunit ribosomal RNA", at positions 241 to 843 of the family's 1533-position model. Lineage: Bacteria; Bacillati; Actinomycetota; Actinomycetes; Micrococcales; Microbacteriaceae. The record is from RNAcentral.